RNAcentral lists this ribosomal RNA (253 nucleotides) under uncultured bacterium. RNAcentral describes it as "partial 16S ribosomal RNA". It matches the Rfam family "Bacterial small subunit ribosomal RNA", at positions 524 to 776 of the family's 1533-position model. The record is from RNAcentral.
UACGAAGGGGGCUAGCGUUGUUCGGAUUUACUGGGCGUAAAGCGCGUGUAGGCGGUGCGCUAAGUUGGCGGUGAAAUCCCGAGGCACAACCUCGGAACUGCCUUCAAAACUUGCGACCUGGACUCAAGUAGAGGCAAGUGGAAUUGCGAGUGUAGAGGUGAAAUUCGUAGAUAUUCGCAGGAACACCAGUAGCGAAGGCGACUUGCUGGAUUUGUAGUGACGCUGGGACGCUUAAGCGUGGGGAGCAAACAGG